This 253-nucleotide ribosomal RNA is filed under the name uncultured bacterium. RNAcentral's name for it is "partial 16S ribosomal RNA". It matches the Rfam family "Bacterial small subunit ribosomal RNA", at positions 524 to 776 of the family's 1533-position model. The record is from RNAcentral.
UACGAAGGGGGCUAGCGUUGCUCGGAAUCACUGGGCGUAAAGCGCACGUAGGCGGAUUGCUAAGUCAGGGGUGAAAUCCUGGAGCUCAACUUCAGAACUGCCUUCGAUACUGGCGAUCUCGAGUCCGGAAGAGGUGAGUGGAACUCCUAGUGUAGAGGUGGAAUUCGUAGAUAUUAGGAAGAACACCAGUGGCGAAGGCGGCUCACUGGUCCGGUACUGACGCUGAUGUGCGAAAGCGUGGGGAGCAAACAGG